GACGUCGAAAUCCCGACCCUAAACUUUUUUAUUGGAUCAUGCUUGUAAGUGUUUCCACUUGGAGGAAAAAGUUUGUGGAAAAUUGAAAUUUGAGGCAAUAUUAGGGAAAUUUAUCUUUGGAUGUGGAAGCACUGACUAAACAAAAUGGCGUCCGCUUAUUCGGAAAAAUAAAAAAAAGUUUAAAAAAAAAAGUUAAAACCGACCUACCCUACCUAAGUUUUUAUAAGAAGAAACCGGAAACCCACAUAUUUUUUUUUGGCCCUACCGAUCUGCUGCUUCUUUCACCUCACUAGCGCCAGAUGAAAUGGCACCGUCUUUAAAACAUUUUAAAUUGGCUCUAGGGGUGAAAUUAUCAACAGGUUGUUGU
RNAcentral lists this long non-coding RNA (367 nucleotides) under Paramuricea clavata. The record is from RNAcentral. Lineage: Eukaryota; Metazoa; Cnidaria; Anthozoa; Malacalcyonacea; Plexauridae.